RNAcentral lists this ribosomal RNA (898 nucleotides) under uncultured bacterium. RNAcentral's name for it is "bacterial SSU rRNA". It matches the Rfam family "Bacterial small subunit ribosomal RNA", at positions 25 to 915 of the family's 1533-position model. The record is from RNAcentral.
CAGGAUGAACGCUAGCUACAGGCUUAACACAUGCAAGUCGAGGGGCAGCGGGAUUGAAGCUUGCUUCAAUUGCCGGCGACCGGCGCACGGGUGAGUAACGCGUAUCCAACCUUCCGUACACUCAGGGAUAGCCUUUCGAAAGAAAGAUUAAUACCUGAUGGUAUGAUGAGAUUGCAUGAUAGCAUCAUUAAAGAUUUAUCGGUGUACGAUGGGGAUGCGUUCCAUUAGGUAGUAGGCGGGGUAACGGCCCACCUAGCCAACGAUGGAUAGGGGUUCUGAGAGGAAGGUCCCCCACAUUGGAACUGAGACACGGUCCAAACUCCUACGGGAGGCAGCAGUGAGGAAUAUUGGUCAAUGGACGAGAGUCUGAACCAGCCAAGUAGCGUGAAGGAUGAAGGUCCUACGGAUUGUAAACUUCUUUUAUAAGGGAAUAAACCCUCCCACGUGUGGGAGCUUGUAUGUACCUUAUGAAUAAGCAUCGGCUAACUCCGUGCCAGCAGCCGCGGUAAUACGGAGGAUGCGAGCGUUAUCCGGAUUUAUUGGGUUUAAAGGGAGCGCAGACGGGUCGUUAAGUCAGCUGUGAAAGUUUGGGGCUCAACCUUAAAAUUGCAGUUGAUACUGGCGUCCUUGAGUGCGGUUGAGGUGUGCGGAAUUCGUGGUGUAGCGGUGAAAUGCUUAGAUAUCACGAAGAACUCCGAUUGCGAAGGCAGCACACUAAUCCGUAACUGACGUUCAUGCUCGAAAGUGUGGGUAUCAAACAGGAUUAGAUACCCUGGUAGUCCACACGGUAAACGAUGGAUACUCGCUGUUGGCGAUAUACUGUCAGCGGCUUAGCGAAAGCGUUAAGUAUCCCACCUGGGGAGUACGCCGGCAACGGUGAAACUCAAAGGAAUUGACG